Molecule: ribosomal RNA, 304 nt
Filed under: uncultured bacterium
Lineage: Bacteria
Description: partial 16S ribosomal RNA
Rfam family: Bacterial small subunit ribosomal RNA
Source: RNAcentral
CAGCAGUAGCCGCGGUAAUACAGAGGAUACAAGCGUUAUCUGGAAUUAUUGGGCGUAAAGCAUCUGUAGGUGGCUUUUCAAGUCCGCCGUCAAAUACCCGGGCUCAACCCUGGACAGGUAGUGGAAACUACCAAGCUGGAGUACGGUAGGGACAGAGGGAAUUUCCAGUGGAGCGGUGAAAUGUGUUGAGAUUGGAAAGAACACCAACGAUGAAAGCACUUUCCUGGGCCGAAACUAACACUGAGAGAUGAAAGCUAGGGGAGAAAAUGGGAUUAGAUACCCCCGUAGUCCCUGUCUCUUAUAC